GAUCAAGUGCCAAAAGGGCGUUCAGUGGAUGCCUUGGCGCACACAGGCGAUGAAGGACGUGAUACGCUGCGAUAAGCGUCGGGGAGCUGCGAAUAAGCUUUGAUCCGGCGAUUUCCGAAUGGGGAAACCCGGUCUUCGGACCAUCCCGCAAGGGAAGCGAACGCGGGGAACUGAAACAUCUCAGUACCCGUAGGAAAGGACAUCAAUUGAGACUCCGGUAGUAGUGGCGAGCGAACCCGGACCAGGCCAGUGGCAGUUAGGUAAGAACAGGAAGAAGCUGGAAAGCUUCGCCUUAGUGGGUGAUAGCCCCGUACUGGUAGAAAUCCUAAUUGUCCUCGAGUAAGGCGGAACACGUGAAAUUCUGUCUGAACAUGGGGGGACCACCCUCCAAGCCUAAGUACUCGUGUGCGACCGAUAGUGAACAAGUACCGUGAGGGAAAGGUGAAAAGCACCCCGACGAGGGGAGUGAAACAGUUCCUGAAACUGGAUGCCUACAAACAGUCAGAGCCCAAGGUUUGUCCUGGGUGAUGGCGUACCUUUUGUAUAAUGGGUCAGCGACUUAGUCUGUCGUGCAAGCUUAAGCCGUUAGGUGUAGGCGUAGGGAAACCGAGUCUGAAUAGGGCGUUAAGUACGACGGAUUAGACCCGAAACCGAGUGAUCUAGCCAUGAGCAGGUUGAAGGUGCGGUAACACGCACUGGAGGACCGAACCCACGUCUGUUGAAAAAGACGGGGAUGACUUGUGGUUAGGGGUGAAAGGCCAAUCAAACUCGGAAAUAGCUGGUUCUCCGCGAAAUCUAUUUAGGUAGAGCGUCAGACGAAUACCCUGGGGGGUAGAGCACUGGAUGGGCUAGGGGUCCUCACCGGAUUACCAAACCUAACCAAACUCCGAAUACCCAGGAGUACUAUCUGGCAGACACACGGCGGGUGCUAAGGUCCGUCGUGGAAAGGGAAACAGCCCUGACCUACAGCUAAGGUCCCCAAGUCAUGGUUAAGUGGGAAAGCAUGUGGGAAUGCUUAGACAACCAGGAGGUUGGCUUAGAAGCAGCCAUCCUUUAAAGAUAGCGUAACAGCUCACUGGUCAAGCGUUCCUGCGGCGAAAAUGUAACGGGGCUCAAACCAUGCACCGAAGCUUAGGGUGUGCAGUUUACUGCACGCGGUAGCGGAGCGUUCCGUAGGCCUGCGAAGGGAUACCCGUGAGGGGUCCUGGAGGUAUCGGAAGUGCGAAUGCUGACAUGAGUAGCGACAAAGAGUGUGAGAGACACUCUCGCCGAAAGUCCAAGGGUUCCUGCGCAAUGUUAAUCAGCGCAGGGUUAGCCGGCUCCUAAGGCGAGGCCGAAAGGCGUAGUCGAUGGGAAUCACGUUAAUAUUCGUGAGCCUGCUGGGAAGUGACGGAUUGCCAGAGUUGUGUGUCCUUAUCGGAUUGGACAUGCAGUGAGGCGGUUCCAGGAAAUAGCCCCAGCUUAUAGACCGUACCCCAAACCGACACAGGUGGACAGGUAGAGUAUACCAAGGCGCUUGAGAGAACGAUGCUGAAGGAACUCGGCAAAUUGCAUGCGUAACUUCGGGAUAAGCAUGACCCGUCUUUGGGCAACCAUUGGCGGGUGGCACAACCCAGGGGGUGGCGACUGUUUAUUAAAAACACAGGGCUCUGCGAAGCCGCAAGGCGACGUAUAGGGUCUGACGCCUGCCCGGUGCCGGAAGGUUAAAAGGAGAGGUGCAAGCCUUGAAUUGAAGCCCCGGUAAACGGCGGCCGUAACUAUAACGGUCCUAAGGUAGCGAAAUUCCUUGUCGGGUAAGUUCCGACCUGCACGAAUGGCGUAACGACUUCCCCACUGUCUCCAGCAUCGACUCAGCGAAAUUGAACUCCCCGUGAAGAUGCGGGGUUCCUGCGGUCAGACGGAAAGACCCCGUGCACCUUUACUAUAGCUUCACGCUGGCAUUCGUGUCGGCAUGUGCAGAAUAGGUGGUAGGCUUUGAAGCAGGGACGCCAGUCCUUGUGGAGCCGCAAUGUGAGAUACCACCCUUAUCGUCAUGGAUGUCUAACCGCGGUAUAACAGUACCCGGGACAGCGUGUGGUGGGUAGUUUGACUGGGGCGGUCGCCUCCCAAAGAGUAACGGAGGCGCGCGAUGGUGGGCUCAGACCGGUCGGAAAUCGGUCGUUGAGUGCAAUGGCAUAAGCCUGCCUGACUGCGAGACUGACAAGUCGAGCAGAGACGAAAGUCGGUCAUAGUGAUCCGGUGGUCCCGCGUGGAAGGGCCAUCGCUCAACGGAUAAAAGGUACGCCGGGGAUAACAGGCUGAUGAUGCCCAAGAGUCCUUAUCGACGGCAUCGUUUGGCACCUCGAUGUCGGCUCAUCACAUCCUGGGGCUGGAGCAGGUCCCAAGGGUACGGCUGUUCGCCGUUUAAAGUGGUACGUGAGCUGGGUUUAGAACGUCGUGAGACAGUUCGGUCCCUAUCUGCCGUGGGUGUUGGAAUAUUGAGAGGAGCUGUCCCUAGUACGAGAGGACCGGGAUGGACGAACCUCUGGUGGACCUGUUGUGGCGCCAGCCGCAGUGCAGGGUAGCUAAGUUCGGACGGGAUAACUGCUGAAAGCAUCUAAGCAGGAAGCCUCCCUCAAAACCAGUAUUCCCUAUCAGAGCCGUGGAAGACCACCACGUUGAUAGGCUGGGUGUGGAAGCGCAGCAAUGUGUGAAGCUUACCAGUACUAAUAGCUCGAUCGGCUUGAUCGUUCUCAUUU
RNAcentral lists this ribosomal RNA (2738 nucleotides) under Pelagibacterium halotolerans. RNAcentral's name for it is "23S ribosomal RNA". It matches the Rfam family "Bacterial large subunit ribosomal RNA". Lineage: Bacteria; Pseudomonadati; Pseudomonadota; Alphaproteobacteria; Hyphomicrobiales; Devosiaceae. The record is from RNAcentral.